This 744-nucleotide ribosomal RNA is filed under the name Neothais marginatra. RNAcentral's name for it is "Semiricinula marginatra partial 16S ribosomal RNA". The stretch from base 1 to 583 matches the Rfam family "Bacterial large subunit ribosomal RNA", at positions 1816 to 2925 of the family's 2925-position model. Lineage: Eukaryota; Metazoa; Mollusca; Gastropoda; Neogastropoda; Muricidae. The record is from RNAcentral.
UGCUCCUUGUUGUUCAAUGGGCAUAGGGAGUCGGACCUGCUCGGUGAAUUAUUUUAACAGCCGCGGUACUCUGACCGUGCAAAGGUAGCAUAAUCAUUUGCCUUAUAAUUGAAGGCUAGUAUGAAUGGUUUGACGAGAAUUAAGCUGUCUCUUUUUAACUAAAUAUAACUUUAUUAAUAGGUGAAGAAGCCUAUAUUUUAUUGAAAGACAAGAAGACCCUAUCGAGCUUUAAAAAAUUUAGUAGAUUUACCACAUAUUUAUAAAAAAGUAAUUCUACUAAAAACUUUGGUUGGGGCGACUGAGGAACAAAUAAAGCUUCCUCUAUAAUUAAAAAGCUAACAAGUAUUGAUCCAGCAAGUCUGAUUAAAGAAAUUAGUUACCGUAGGGAUAACAGCAUAAUCUCCUUUGAGAGCUCUUAUCGAAAAGGAGGUUUGUGACCUCGAUGUUGGACCAGAAUACCCCGAAGAUGCAGCCGUCUUCAAUGGUUGGUCUGUUCGACCAUUAAAAUUCUACGUGAUCUGAGUUCAGACCGGCGUGAGCCAGGUCAGUUUCUAUCUUCAAUUUUUGAAAUAGCCUUAGUACGAAAGGACCAGGACGUUACAAAAGUGUUUGUACUGCUUUGAUUAAAUAUAAGGGGUAAAUUAAGUUUAUAAAUAUCAAAUUAGCAAAGAUUAAUGCAAUUGACUUAGGAUCAAUAGACAUAGGUGAAAUCCCUUUAUUUGAUAGAUAAAGAUGGCAGAAAAA